This 465-nucleotide ribosomal RNA is filed under the name uncultured Klebsiella sp. Its description in RNAcentral is "bacterial SSU rRNA". It matches the Rfam family "Bacterial small subunit ribosomal RNA", at positions 338 to 795 of the family's 1533-position model. The record is from RNAcentral. Lineage: Bacteria; Pseudomonadati; Pseudomonadota; Gammaproteobacteria; Enterobacterales; Enterobacteriaceae.
CCUACGGGGGGCUGCAGUGGGGAAUAUUGCACAAUGGGCGCAAGCCUGAUGCAGCCAUGCCGCGUGUGUGAAGAAGGCCUUCGGGUUGUAAAGCACUUUCAGCGGGGAGGAAGGCGGUGAGGUUAACAACCUCAUCGAUUGACGUUACCCGCAGAAGAAGCACCGGCUAACUCCGUGCCAGCAGCCGCGGUAAUACGGAGGGUGCAAGCGUUAAUCGGAAUUACUGGGCGUAAAGCGCACGCAGGCGGUCUGUCAAGUCGGAUGUGAAAUCCCCGGGCUCAACCUGGGAACUGCAUUCGAAACUGGCAGGCUAGAGUCUUGUAGAGGGGGGUAGAAUUCCAGGUGUAGCGGUGAAAUGCGUAGAGAUCUGGAGGAAUACCGGUGGCGAAGGCGGCCCCCUGGACAAAGACUGACGCUCAGGUGCGAAAGCGUGGGGAGCAAACAGGAUUAGAUACCCCAGUAGUC